AGGGUUUGAUUAUGGCUCAGGACGAACGCUGGCGGCGCGCCUAACACAUGCAAGUCGAGCGGAGUUUUUAAGUGGAAGCUUUCGGGUGGAAAUUUAUAAACUUAGCGGCGGACGGGUGAGUAACACGUGAGCAACCUACCUCUUAGAGGGGGAUAACGUUUGGAAACGAACGCUAAUACCGCAUAAUACCGGGACAUCACAUGGUGAUCCGGUCAAAGGAGCAAUCCGCUGAGAGAUGGGCUCGCGUCCGAUUAGAUAGUUGGCGGGGUAACGGCCCACCAAGUCGACGAUCGGUAGCCGGACUGAGAGGUUGAUCGGCCACAUUGGGACUGAGACACGGCCCAG
RNAcentral lists this ribosomal RNA (345 nucleotides) under uncultured bacterium. RNAcentral's name for it is "bacterial SSU rRNA". It matches the Rfam family "Bacterial small subunit ribosomal RNA", at positions 8 to 334 of the family's 1533-position model. The record is from RNAcentral.